RNAcentral lists this ribosomal RNA (425 nucleotides) under uncultured bacterium. RNAcentral's name for it is "bacterial SSU rRNA". It matches the Rfam family "Bacterial small subunit ribosomal RNA", at positions 354 to 796 of the family's 1533-position model. The record is from RNAcentral.
GUGGGGAAUAUUGGACAAUGGGCGAAAGCCUGAUCCAGCCAUGCCGCGUGAGUGAUGAAGGCCCUAGGGUUGUAAAGCUCUUUCAACGGUGAAGAUAAUGACGGUAACCGUAGAAGAAGCCCCGGCUAACUUCGUGCCAGCAGCCGCGGUAAUACGAAGGGGGCUAGCGUUGUUCGGAAUUACUGGGCGUAAAGCGCACGUAGGCGGAUUGUUUAGUGAGUGGUGAAAUCCCAGGGCUCAACCCUGGAACUGCCUCUCAUACUGGCAAUCUCGAGUCCGGAAGAGGUGAGUGGAAUUCCGAGUGUAGAGGUGAAAUUCGUAGAUAUUCGGAGGAACACCAGUGGCGAAGGCGGCUCACUGGUCCGGUACUGACGCUGAGGUGCGAAAGCGUGGGGAGCAAACAGGAUUAGAAACCCUAGUAGUCC